Long non-coding RNA from Lolium rigidum, 535 nucleotides. RefSeq lists it as uncharacterized. The transcript has 2 exons. NCBI's taxonomy places the organism in Eukaryota, Viridiplantae, Streptophyta, Magnoliopsida, Poales, Poaceae. The record is from RefSeq and is a predicted model, not a curated record.
UCUUAGAGUUGGUUUAUUCGGCAGCAGCAGCGAAUUGCAUGGAUCUGCACGUUUGCCUCGUGCCGAACGAGUUGACAGAAAAAGUAAAUGAGCUUGGUACAAGACAUGGGGUAGGGGCAAUCGAUGGCCUUCACUUCCGCCCGCCCAAAGUACCAGUCACCCACAGAUUUCCCGAUAUCCUGCAAACGCAAGAACAACACAAUUUACAUGGACGUACCAGUGCUUGAUAUAAGCGAGUUCAAACACAGCUGGUUGCUAGCAGGUACCUUGUUUUGAAUAGCAGGAGAGCCAUUUGCGUUCCAGGUGGCAUGGUUCUCGGACUGGCCGUGAAUGAAGCAUGAGUUUAUGAAGAACCCGUUGCUGUGCUUGGAACCGGAGAAACCUUGAACAGUCGCCACCAUCUGGCCCCUGAAAGCUACACCCAUAGUAUAGUCCGAGACACGUGACACCCGAAUUCAGAUCAUCUUUUUGACCAGCAUAUGCAAGCAUCAUCGUGUGGGACGAUGCAUUGCCAAUUUUAAACUGUAUCAAUGUA